Molecule: ribosomal RNA, 730 nt
Filed under: uncultured bacterium
Lineage: Bacteria
Description: bacterial SSU rRNA
Rfam family: Bacterial small subunit ribosomal RNA
Source: RNAcentral
AGUCCGACGCGAAAGUCCCGAAAGGGAUGAGUAGAGUGGCAAACGGGUGAGUAACACGUGGGUGACCUGCCUUCGAGCGGGGGAUAACGUCCCGAAAGGGACGCUAAUACCGCAUGACAUCCUGCCUUUGAACAGGCGGUGAUCAAAGCUGGGGAUCGCAAGACCUGGCACUUGAAGAGGGGCCCGCGCCUGAUUAGCUAGUUGGUGAGGUAACGGCUCACCAAGGCGACGAUCAGUAUCCGGCCUGAGAGGGCGGACGGACACACUGGGACUGAGACACGGCCCAGACUCCUACGGGAGGCAGCAGUGGGGAAUUGUUCGCAAUGGGCGCAAGCCUGACGACGCAACGCCGCGUGGAGGAUGAAGAUCUUCGGGUCGUAAACUCCUUUCGAUCGAGACGAACGGCCUCCGGGUGAACAAUCCGGGGGAGUGACGGUACCGAGAGAAGAAGCCCCGGCUAACUCCGUGCCAGCAGCCGCGGUAAUACGGGGGGGGCAAGCGUUGUUCGGAAUUACUGGGCGUAAAGGGCUCGUAGGCGGCCAACUAAGUCAGACGUGAAAUCCCUCGGCUUAACCGGGGAACUGCAUCUGAUACUGGAUGGCUUGAGAUCGGGAGAGGGAUGCGGAAUUCCAGGUGUAGCGGUGAAAUGCGUAGAUAUCUGGAGGAACACCGGUGGCGAAGGCGGCAUCCUGGACCGACACUGACGCUGAUGAGCGAAAGCAGGGGAGCA